GAUAAACGCUGGCGGCGCACAUAAGACAUGCAAGUUGAACGGACUUAAUCGAAAUAUUUAUAUUUUGAAGCGGUUAGUGGCGGACUGGUGAGUAACGCGUAAGGAACCUGCCUAUUAGAGGGGAAUAACAGUGAGAAAUCAUUGCUAAUACCGCAUAUGCCAUAGAUAUCACAUGAUAACAGUGGGAAAGGAGCAAUCCGCUAAUAGAUGGCCUUGCGUCUGAUUAGAUAGUUGGUGGGGUAACGGCCUACCAAGUCGACGAUCAGUAGCCGGACUGAGAGGUUGAACGGCCACAUUGGGACUGAGAUACGGCCCAGACUCCUACGGGAGGCAGCAGUCGGGAAUAUUGCGCAAUGGAGGAAACUCUGACGCAGUGACGCUGCGUAUAGGAAGAAGGUUUUCGGAUUGUAAACUAUUGUCGUUAGGGAAGAGAAAGGACAGUACCUAAGGAGGAAGCUCCGGCUAACUACGUG
Molecule: ribosomal RNA, 473 nt
Filed under: uncultured bacterium
Lineage: Bacteria
Description: partial 16S ribosomal RNA
Rfam family: Bacterial small subunit ribosomal RNA
Source: RNAcentral